GCCCUCAUAAGGCUUGAAAUAUAUGGAUUUAUUAUCAUCUUCUUCCCAAAUGAUUAACAAAGUUUUAAGAUACUUUUCUUUUUAAGUGUGUAAAGAGAUUGGCAUUUGUAAGUUGUAACUCUCAUUCCCCCCUUUCUUUCUUUUAUUUUUGGGUUUGUUCUUGUAAGAGAGCUAUAUAUUAUAUAUUAUUAAUGGUUUCUAUAUGAAGGUGUGAUGGCAAUGAUGGCCACCCCUAAACAAACCUAAUCUCUUAAGCCUAUGAUAUUUUUAUGGGAUUAACCCCCUCCAUUUAUGUCAUCCCUGUCAUGCAAUGAUAUUUUUUAUUCAUAAUUUAUAUAUAUCAAAUCUAUUCUAUUCUAUUCAUCUCAUGAAUCUCCUUUCCCCACAUAUAUCACAAAGUUUGAUAUAUAUAUAUAUAUAAAGCCUUUUCAUUGCCUUCCAAUGGGAAAUAAACAACAAAUACAAUAGUUUUUUUUCACUUGUCACCCCACAAUCUUAAACCAUGAUUAGUCUAUAUUUGAUAAAUUUAGAAUUUGGACUUAAUGGUCCCCAUGGACCAACUAUGAAAUCCUAAUAAAAGGGUCAGAAACUUAUCUAAUGGUAUCAUAUAUCUUUAUUACCCACUGUUCACUGGUAGGUUUAUAUCAAUUUUUGCAGCAAAACUAAAUCACUUCAAAAAAGCUCACAUCCCAUGUGAGAGCAAUGCAAAAAAAGAUUAUAGUAUAUAGUGUAUGAUAGCUUGUGGAAGUGUGCUUGCAAUUACAAAUACAACCAGUGGACAAUGGGCAUUUGUAACUAUUGGGAAGCAAAAGCCUUGCCUAAAGGGUGAUGGGGUGUGUUAGAACUUCAAUUAUAGAGGGCCUAAUUUGACAGAAUAUGGUUUGUCCUUUAGGCAUUUAAAGGGUCUAUUAUUAUUAUUAUAUUGUUUAAAAACAGGGUCUUAUCUUCAUAACUCAAAAAUUGGAGGUUUGCCUAAUUUGAAGUGUUCCCUUUGUACAUUGUGUUUGACCACAAAUGAAACGAGCACACAAGUUUCAAGGGUUCAACCAUUUGGUGCUUGGAAAUUAGCUAUAUAAAUUAUUGGUGUCCUCCACAUGAGGGGAUUUGGGGUUUUUAAAACCCUUUUUAAAUUGUAGGACCAUACCCGGCCCCUUCAUAAUUAUUGCGUUGCAUGUUUGGUACAUAUGUGCCACUGAACCAUGUAACCAGCUGGCUUGGGUUUCUGGGCUAGGGGACCUUAAAGAAGUGAACCACUUAGCCAAGGUGUUAAGGGUUAGGGUUCAUGGUCCUGUGGACCCAUGGGCUUGUUGGGCUCAUUAUGACUACCUAUCUUCAUUGCUAAAGUGACACAUUCACUUCUUUGAAAAGGGAAAAAUAAAGUUGAACGAAUAUAAAUAUUAGAAAAGAAGAAGAAAAAAAAGGCAAACCUAAUCUCUUAAGCCUAUGCAAACUAAAAAGCCAUAUUCCCUUUCUAAACCUAAUCUCAAGCAAACUCAAUAGAGCAAAAAAAGAAAAGAAAAGGUAAAAUAAACAACCUUCCAAAGAAAAGAUGGCAAGGGAAAGUAACAUGUCAUUUGGUAUUCAUUCACAUGACUUUUAUGUGUUAAA
RNAcentral lists this long non-coding RNA (1608 nucleotides) under Gossypium barbadense (sea-island cotton). RNAcentral describes it as "long non-coding RNA (GBAR_LNC016882)". The record is from RNAcentral. Lineage: Eukaryota; Viridiplantae; Streptophyta; Magnoliopsida; Malvales; Malvaceae.